RNAcentral lists this ribosomal RNA (470 nucleotides) under Thermoanaerobacterium thermosaccharolyticum. Its description in RNAcentral is "partial 23S ribosomal RNA". It matches the Rfam family "Bacterial large subunit ribosomal RNA", at positions 1657 to 2142 of the family's 2925-position model. Lineage: Bacteria; Bacillati; Bacillota; Clostridia; Thermoanaerobacterales; Thermoanaerobacteraceae. The record is from RNAcentral.
ACACAGGUAGGCGAGGAGAGAAUCCAAAGACGAGCGGGAGAACCCUCAUUAAGGAACUCGGCAAAAAGACUCCGUAACUUCGGGAGAAGGAGUGCCGAAAGGCCGCAGAGAAGAGGCCCAAGCGACUGUUUACCAAAAACACAGGUUUCUGCUAAGUCGAAAGACGAAGUAUAGGAGCUGACGCCUGCCCGGUGCUGGAAGGUUAAGGGGAAGUGUUAGGUAUAAGCCGAAGCACAGAACUUAAGCCCCAGUAAACGGCGGCCGUAACUAUAACGGUCCUAAGGUAGCGAAAUUCCUUGUCGGGUAAGUUCCGACCUGCACGAAAGGCGUAACGACUUGGGCGCUGUCUUGAUGGGGGACCCGGUGAAAUUGUAGUACUCGUGAAGAUGCGAGUUACCCGCGACAGGACAGAAAGACCCCAUGGAGCUUUACUGCAGCUUGUCACUGAAUUUUAGUAAUAUCUGUACAGG